Molecule: long non-coding RNA, 1435 nt
Organism: Panicum virgatum (switchgrass)
Lineage: Eukaryota; Viridiplantae; Streptophyta; Magnoliopsida; Poales; Poaceae
Exons: 4
Source: RefSeq, a predicted model, not a curated record
CCCGACCCAAACCCAAACUCGCCAGCUCCCUCUCAACCCUAUCGCCUCCCCACCUGCCGCCUCCCCUGGCGCCGCCGGGCGCUCGGCUUUCCCCCUCUCUAGCGCCGUCGACCUCUCUCUCUCGCUCGCUCGCUCGGAGGCGGUGCUCGCGCUGGUGGCGUGGAUGGCGUGGGCGGAGGGCGGGCUGCACGUGCGCUCGGCCACCACGCUGCUCCCCUACGCGGCGCGGCUGGCAUGUGUCCUGGCGUGGGUGCCGCUCGUGCUGGGCAACGGCGCGGUGCGUGCGGGCAUGGCCGCCAGCGCCUUGGUGUGCGCGCACGGGUUCGACGCCGUGAACCUUGUCGCCGGUGACCUUGCCAAGUCCGCCGUCGCCUGGGCCGUGCUCGUCGCCGUCGUCAACAACAAGACGCUCUGAGCCCGCUCCUCCGUCCCGCCUGUUCAUAUCCAUCCGUCGGGAGCUCCAGCGCCUCAUUGGGGACGCGGGGCCCGGGGACCUGCUCUUCUUCCACUACAGCGGCAGGUGCUGAAGGCGGCGUUGAGGCAGCGCGGGUGAGCAGGAUACCAAGGCAACUCGACUGAGCAGGGUACCACCACCAGCAGCAGUUAAGAGUCGUGGUGGUGGAGCAUGACCACAAUGGCGCAGGAUGUCUAGUGGGCAGAACCAGAGGUACAUUAGAUAGAUACAGGAUAGUUGCUGUCUUGUUGGCUUCAUUUCCAAAACUGAAUGGCUAAUCAUCUAAUUCAUCUGUAGAAUGAGGUUCCAUUUCAUCGAUAAUAUCUACCUUGCUUGAUUUAUUUUCCAAAAUGAAUGGCCAAUUAUCUGAUUUAUGUCUAGAACUGCAGUUCCAUUUUACAGAUAAUUUUUCUUUUUCUUGAUGUAAUCCUCCUGUUUGUUAUUGCCGUUCAAACUAUUGUUUGUUCCCUUGAUUGUUGUGUAACUUUAUUGAUAAUAAUGGCAUAAACAUUUUAGCAUCAGUGCAUAAUAUAUCUAAUCUGAAAUUAGCUUGUUAACUUUAAGGUUGUAUAUGCUAUCACUGAAUACUUGAAUCAUUUGUGCAGUUUACCUAUGAUAUGAGCUUAUGUCAUAGUGCAUGAAUCCAGACAAUAAUAAGUGAGACUCAUGUCUCCCUUCUUUAUUUACAUAUGCUCAACCUUUAUUUUGUCCCCAUGUUUUCUCUAGUUUAUGCAGAGAGGGAGAUAGUGGACAAGGUGAGAGGGGCGGCAGCACACCCCAGUUAGCAGGAGCUAUAUAGGUCAAUUAUAGCUUCUAGUGGAACUGCGAACUUGUGUUUGCAAUUAUGUUGAAACCUAUCUUUUUUUUUUGUUUCCGACGCUGUGCAAGUGAUGCUAGAGGAAAAAAAAUGUAUGUGAUCUGUUGAUUUAAUAUCAUGCUGAAUGGAAACUUGAUUCAUUUGAUGCUAUUAUUUUUGUGCUG